AAAAACAUGUCCUUUUGUUUAAAUAUAAGGUCUGACCUGCCCAAUGAUUUAUUUAAUGGCCGCGGUAUAUUAACUGUGCUAAGGUAGCAUAAUCAUUUGUCUUUUAAUUAAGGGCUAGAAUGAAUGGUUGGACGAGAUAUAAGCUUUCUUUGGUUUAAUGAAUGAAUUUAAUUUUUUAGUUAAAAAGCUAAAAUUUAUUUGAGGGACGAGAAGACCCUAUAGAUCUUUAUAUAUUAAGUUUUAUUUAUUUUAGAUUAUAAAUUAUUAUAAGAAUUAAGUAUAUUUGGUUGGGGUGACUUUAGAAUAAAAUUAACUUCUAUAUAUAAUUUUCAUAAAUUAGUGUUUUUAUGAUCCAAUUUUUUUGAUUAAAAGAUUAAGUUACCUUAGGGAUAACAGCGUAAUUUUUUCGGAGAGCUCAAAUCGAUGAAGGAGUUUGCGACCUCGAUGUUGGAUUAAAAUAAGUUUUGGGUGCAGGAGCUCAAAAACUAGGUCUGUUCGACCUUUAAUAUUUUACAUGAUCUGAGU
RNAcentral lists this ribosomal RNA (525 nucleotides) under Neotropiconyttus sp. 00005044. RNAcentral describes it as "partial 16S ribosomal RNA". It matches the Rfam family "Bacterial large subunit ribosomal RNA", at positions 1809 to 2610 of the family's 2925-position model. The record is from RNAcentral. Lineage: Eukaryota; Metazoa; Arthropoda; Insecta; Hemiptera; Reduviidae.